Long non-coding RNA from Diorhabda sublineata, 345 nucleotides. RefSeq lists it as uncharacterized. The record is from RefSeq and is a predicted model, not a curated record. The transcript is spliced from 3 exons. NCBI's taxonomy places the organism in Eukaryota, Metazoa, Arthropoda, Insecta, Coleoptera, Chrysomelidae.
GUAAAGUGAACUGGGUGACGCAAUUCAAGCCAGCACUGUGGAAUGACUUGUAGGAUCUUGGAAACCAUUGUUGGAUCAUUUUGAGAUGAUAGCACAGCAGUGUCAUUAGCAUAUGUAGCUGUGAUCUUCAAGUAGAGCAAAAAUUUUUCUUCAAGAGCUUGUUAUAUUCUUUCAUUACUUCCUAAGCCAAAGGCGGACUCUGGAGAUGAGCAAGAAAAUGAAGAAAAUUUGGAGAAUGAAGAUGUAUUACUUCAGGCAGCGAGCAAAUUUUUAGAUGUAUACGUUGAAAAACGUUUUGAUGCAGAGGAUGCAUCACAAACUCCAGAAGUGUCAAAGGAUGAGACA